AAUAAGAUGUCUGAUUAAAGUAAUAAACUGUAAAUUUAUUUAAGGUUUAACCUCUUAUUU
Molecule: transfer RNA, 60 nt
Filed under: Neoseiulus womersleyi
Lineage: Eukaryota; Metazoa; Arthropoda; Arachnida; Mesostigmata; Phytoseiidae
Description: tRNA-Tyr
Source: RNAcentral